RNAcentral lists this non-coding RNA (28 nucleotides) under Mus musculus (house mouse). Lineage: Eukaryota; Metazoa; Chordata; Mammalia; Rodentia; Muridae. The record is from RNAcentral.
UAUCAGGUGAACAGAAAGGACAGGACAA